RNA transcript from Octodon degus (degu), 1704 nucleotides. It is a transcript of the gene named protein TFG pseudogene, with no coding region annotated. The transcript has a single exon. The record is from RefSeq and is a predicted model, not a curated record. NCBI's taxonomy places the organism in Eukaryota, Metazoa, Chordata, Mammalia, Rodentia, Octodontidae.
CGAGCGGCCCGCGACUGAAGCCUCCCUCUGAGAGCCCGGCGGCGGCCUCGCCUCGGCCCUGUCAGCGGUGACCUACGCUGAGGCGGCGGCCUCGGCUAGUCGUCUUUCUCUAGAGUUAACUCUUUAGAGCAUCCUGGAGUCUACCAUAAAUGGACAGUUGGACCUAAGUGGGAAGCUAAUUAUCAAAGCCCAACUUGGAGAGGAUAUUCGGCGAAUUCCCAUUCAUAAUGAAGAUAUUACUUAUGAUGAAUUAGUGUUAAUGAUGCAAUGAGUUUUCAGAGGAAAACUUCUGAGUAAUGAUGAAGUUACAAUAAAGUAUAAAGAUGAAGAUGGAGAUCUUAUAACAAUUUUUGAUAGUUCUGACCUUUCCUUUGCAAUCCAGUGUAGUAGAAUACUGAAACUAACAUUAUUUGUUAAUGGCCAACCAAGACCCCUUGAAUCAAGUCAAGUGAAAUAUCUCCGUCGAGAACUGGUAGAACUUCGAAAUAAAGUGAAUCGUUUACUGGAUAGGUUGGAGCCACCUGGAGAACCAGGACCUUCUACUAGUAUUCCUGAAAAUGAUACAGUGGAUGGUAGGGAAGAAAAGCCUGCUGCCUCUGAUUCUUCUGGUAAACAGUCUACUCAAGUUAUGGCAGCAAGUAUGUCAGCUUUUGAUCCUCUGAAAAACCAGGAUGAAAUCAAUAAAAACGUUAUGUCAGCAUUUGGCUUAACAGAUGAUCAGGUUUCUGGGCCACCCAGUGCUCCAGCAGAAGAUCGUUCUGGAACUCCCGACAGCAUUGCUUCCUCCUCCUCAGCAGCUCACCCACCAGGAGUUCAGGCCCAACAGCCUCCGUAUACAGGAGCUCAGGCACAAGCAGGUCAGAUUGAAGGUCAGAUGUACCAACAGUACCAGCAGCAAGCUGGCUAUGGUGCACAGCAGCCUCAGGCUCUGCCUCAGCAACCUCAGCAGUAUGGUAUUCAGUAUUCAGCUAGCUAUAGUCAGCAGACUGGACCUCAGCAACCUCAACAGUUCCAGGGAUAUGGCCAGCAACCAACUUCCCAGGCACCAGCUCCUGCCUUUUCUGGUCAGCCUCAACAACUGUCUGCUCAACCACCACAGCAGUACCAGGCGAGCAGUUAUCCUCAACAAACUUAUACUGCCCAAACUUCUCAGUCUACUAAUUAUACUGUGCCCCCUCCCUCUCAGCCUGGAAUGGCUCCAAGCCAGCCUGGGGCUUAUCAACCAAGACCAGGUUUUACUUCACCUCCAGGAAGUACCAUGGCCCCUCCUCCAAGUGGGCCUAACCCUUAUGCACGCAAUCGUCCUGCCUUUAGUCAGGGCUAUACCCAGCCUGGACCUGGUUAUCGAUAAGUAGGUUCAGCUGUCCUGAUGAAUAUAGCUGUUUGCCUCCCAAGACUCCAAUACUAUUUUAUUUUAACUUGUAUUGAAGUUCAGAAAUUUAAACAGCAGAGCAUUUUUUAUGGUAUCAUUGUUGCUGUUAAUUGAAAAUGUAAUUUGCUGGAACACAAAAAGACCAAAAUGAAAAUCUUUUUCCUCUCCUGCUUAAAAUGUAGCAGCUUUCUAGUUAUUUUGGAACACUACUCUUACAUGUGUGUAAAGUGAUUGGCUUUCUAGCUUCUCUUGUCCAGAGGAUAUUAAAACGCUAGGUUGAGGUUUAGCCAUCUUACUUGGCUUUUUACUGUUAACAUGAUGUACUAAAGUAG